Molecule: ribosomal RNA, 460 nt
Filed under: uncultured bacterium
Lineage: Bacteria
Description: partial 16S ribosomal RNA
Rfam family: Bacterial small subunit ribosomal RNA
Source: RNAcentral
CCUACGUGGGGCAGCAGUGAGGAAUCUUGGUCAAUGGGCGCGAGCCUGAACCAGCCAAGUAGCGUGAAGGAUGACUGCCCUACGGGUUGUAAACUUCUUUUAUAAAGGAAUAAAGUGAGGCACGUGUGCCUUUUUGUAUGGACUUUAUGAAUAAGGAUCGGCUAACUCCGUGCCAGCAGCCGCGGUAAUACGGAGGAUCCGAGCGUUAUCCGGAUUUAUUGGGUUUAAAGGGAGCGUAGAUGGGUUGUUAAGUCAGUUGUGAAAGUUUGCGGCUCAACCGUAAAAUUGCAAUUGAUACUGGCAGUCUUGAGUACAGUUGAGGUAGGCGGAAUUCGUGGUGUAGCGGUGAAAUGCUUAGAUAUCACGAAGAACUCCGAUUGCGAAGGCAGCUUACUAAACUGCCACUGACAUUGAUGCUCGAAAGUGUGGGUAUCAAACAGGAUUAGAUACCCCAGUAGUC